GCAGUGGCUCAUCGGUAGAACCUUUGCUUGAAAUGCAGAAGGCCCCAGGUUUAACUCCCAGCAUCUCCA
This 69-nucleotide transfer RNA is filed under the name Sphaerodactylus townsendi. RNAcentral's name for it is "tRNA-Phe". The record is from RNAcentral. Lineage: Eukaryota; Metazoa; Chordata; Lepidosauria; Squamata; Sphaerodactylidae.